Molecule: ribosomal RNA, 440 nt
Filed under: uncultured bacterium
Lineage: Bacteria
Description: partial 16S ribosomal RNA
Rfam family: Bacterial small subunit ribosomal RNA
Source: RNAcentral
CCUACGGGUGGCAGCAGUGGGGAAUAUUGCACAAUGGGGGAAACCCUGAUGCAGCGACGCCGCGUGAGUGAAGAAGUAUUUCGGUACGUUAAGCUCUAUCAGCAGGGAAGAAAAUGACGGUACCUGUCUAAGUAGCCCCGGCUAACUACGUGCCAGCAUCCGCGGUACUACGUAGGGCGCAAGCGUUAUCCGGAUUUACUGGGUGUAAAGGGAGCGUAGACGGCAGCGCAAGUCUGGAGUGAAAUCCCAUGGCUUAACCAUGGAACUGCUUUGGAAACUGGGCAGCUGGAGUGCAGGAGAGGUAAGCGGAAUGCGUAGUGUAGCGGUGAAAUGCGUAGAUAUUAGGAGGAACACCAGUGGCGAAGGCGGCAUACUGGACUGUAACUGACGUUGAGGCUCGAAAGCGUGGGGAGCGAACAGGAUUAGAUACCCCUGUAGUC